CGGGGCGGGGGCUCCAGGCUGCCAGGAAAGCUCUGAAGAACUGACCACCCCUUUCUCUUGGACGUCCUAAGGCGUCAGACCUCAAGAUAGAUGAAGCUGCAUCACAUAGUGUGGCUGGUGCGCAGGACAGGUGAGCUCCGAGCAACACAGACCCUGCGGCUCUGCUCCGUCUGGGUUGGAUUCGCUCUCGUGGCUUCCUAGAUGGGCCUUCCUCCACUGCUGCACUGCGGAGAGGCCGGCAGGCGCCACUCCUCACCCACAGUAGUCUCCUUGCAAAAAGCUAGGCGCGCAGCCUGGCUGAGAGCCCAGAGCGUCACCUACCCACACCUGGCGUGGCCCUUCUGUAGGAGACGGGAUUGGCUUCUGCAAGGCCAAAACCUAUGUCCGACUUCCUCGAAGAGGAUCUCACUCAGCUGUCCUCACAAAGUUUGGAGCCAGAAAGUCCCAUGAUCGCAAGGAAAUUCACUGAACUUCGGUUUCGCUUACGAGGCAUUUUGAGAUUUUUCUUGCUUUGCCAGAGGAAGAGGAGAGGAACUGUAAAGAAUGCUUUUUAUUCCUGUGGAGUGGAAUAGUCUGUAUCCACAUUGAAGCUUUCUUCUCUCCUGUAUCCUGGAGUUGGUCAGAGUUGGUUCCUCGAAUGCGGCAGCACUACCAUCUCUCAGCAUCUCGAUAAAUUGCCCAGGUUGGCCUCGAACUUGAAAUCUUCCUUCAUCAGCCUCCCCGUAGUUGGGAUGACAGGAGUCCAGCUCAACGAAGAAUUCCAUGAGGACGGGAGGUGAGAAGUAGCUAGAGUCAGCUGGAAAGAAAGGAAGGAGCCCUACCUUGGAGACCAAUUUGUAGGCUAGAUCCACCUUCUGUGUUAAACUUUGUCACCAGUGGACACAGGGGCCACUCUUGACACCAAAGGCACUUGAGGCCACUUUGGGGCUCAGAGGAGCUGAAGGGAGUCAGCAAGUCUGCCAAACAAAGAUCCCAAGAGUUGAGCAAUCUCCUGAAUGCAACAAUUUAUUGAGCAUUUACCACAUUCAUAGAAAGAGAGAAGGGAUCUCACCCAGACAUAAGCUAGGAGCUGGAGGUGGCACUGACAGUGCAGGACUUUCUUCCACCUGGCCUACACACUGUGUGAACACCGUGGGCCCAACAGGCAGCACUGGAACUCAGCGAUCUGCAGGCUGAGCACUGGAACUCAUGGCGAUCCAGAGACCAGUACAGCCAGGGAGCCAAGUGGGGAAUCCGGAUGGGCAGAGUGAUGGUCACAGACUGUUGCAGAGCUCAAGCAGCAGCUCCUCAAAGAGCAAUAUGAGGGCAGAGUCCAUAAGCAUUAAGCCAGAAGACCAAGCCCAAGAGCAGCUCAAGACUUCAUCUUUUAUGCUGUGGGGAAGUUGGUGCAAACAACAUGUGUUAAUCUUGACAGUAAAAAUAUAUUUUUUAGAAAACAUUUUUAUAAGUUUCUCAAAAGGGGUUCACAAAGUAAGAUUUUAGCAUGCAGGCCAUAUGGUUAUCACACAAUAGGGUUGACACUCAAGCACAGUGGUUGUGUGGUUAUCACAUGGGUCAGAAAGCUCAGACUCAGAAAGUAAGUUUGAAACAAGACAGAAGCAAAGGAUGGCUUCUGUCCUGCUCACAUUACACUUUAAUCUAGGUCCAGGAUAUCCUGGUCUAAGUGGAGAAGGAGAAGUAACAAAGUAACCCAUAGUAAGUCCCCUGACCUAUACUCAGAAGUCUUAAGCAACCUUUGUCCACUCUGUCCACACCAUAAUCAUCAUGUCAUUACCAAUGCUGUUUUAACCACUCCCCGCCACCAUUCCUGUGGGUUUGGGGCACCAUGAAAGUUUCUCCAAGGGCCAUAAAAAGUCAAAAACUGCCACUAAUUGGGAGGGCAGAAUCAAACCUCUCAUUGGCAAGAGCAACCUUUAGACCAACCCCUCAGUCCCUGCCCAAUCCUUAGUGCUUAAAACCUUCACCACCAAGCCUCUUCAAGGCAGGACCUUUUCUCACGGGUCCACUUCCACCUUGUACUUUCAGUAAAUCUUUGAUCUUUCUGCUCCUUUUGAGUGCCCUGCUCAAUUCUUCAUUGAGACACCAAGAACCUAGAUAAGAUUCUUGACUCAGUAAGAGGGGGACAGAAAAUUAUUUUUUCUUCCCCUGCUCUAACCUAUUUUCUCUUCUGUCUUUGGAAGCUCAGCAGCAACAAAACUUCAGGGAGCAAAAGAGACCCCUCUCCUCCCAGCAGCCUGGACUCUCAAGAGCCACCUUCGCUUGGGGCUGGGAACAUGAUUCACUGAUAGAACAUUUGCCUAGAAUGCAUGAGGCCCUAGGUUCAAUCCCCAAAAUGGGGUGGGGGAGCCCUGCUCAUGGAUUGGAAGACAAAUCUGUGGAGAGAGUAGAUUAGUUGUUGCUUAGAACUGAGGUGAUAAGAAGAUUUGAAAGGUGAUGGCUAAGUGUUACAAAGUUUUUUUGGGGGUAAUAAAAUGUUCUAAAAUAGCUUGUGACAAUGGACGCACAACUAUGAAUAUACUAAAAGCCAUUGAGUUAGGAACUUCCAAUGGGUGAAUUGUAUAGUAC
Molecule: long non-coding RNA, 2565 nt
Organism: Heterocephalus glaber (naked mole-rat)
Lineage: Eukaryota; Metazoa; Chordata; Mammalia; Rodentia; Bathyergidae
Source: Ensembl